RNAcentral lists this ribosomal RNA (497 nucleotides) under uncultured bacterium. RNAcentral's name for it is "partial 16S ribosomal RNA". It matches the Rfam family "Bacterial small subunit ribosomal RNA", at positions 28 to 507 of the family's 1533-position model. The record is from RNAcentral.
GACGAACGCUGGCGGCGUGCCUAAUACAUGCAAGUUGAGCGCUGAAGGUUGGUACUUGUCCCAACUGGAUGAGCAGCGGACGGGUGAGUAACGCGUGGGGAAUCUGCCUUUGAGCGGGGGACAACAUUUGGAAACGAAUGCUAAUACCGCAUAAAAACUUUAAACACAAGUUUUAAGUUUGAAAGAUGCAAUUGCAUCACUCAAAGAUGAUCCCGCGUUGUAUUAGCUAGUUGGUGAGGUAAAGGCUCACCAAGGCGAUGAUACAUAGCCGACCUGAGAGGGUGAUCGGCCACAUUGGGACUGAGACACGGCCCAAACUCCUACGGGAGGCAGCAGUAGGGAAUCUUCGGCAAUGGACGAAAGUCUGACCGAGCAACGCCGCGUGAGUGAAGAAGGGUUUCGGAUCGUAAAACUCUGUUGGUAGAGAAGAACGUUGGUGAGAGUGGAAAGCUCAUCAAGUGACGGUAACUACCCAGAAAGGGACGGCUAACUACGUG